Molecule: long non-coding RNA, 1734 nt
Filed under: Ananas comosus (pineapple)
Lineage: Eukaryota; Viridiplantae; Streptophyta; Magnoliopsida; Poales; Bromeliaceae
Description: long non-coding RNA (ACOM_LNC011626)
Source: RNAcentral
AUUUGAUUUCGGUUCCCGUAUUUAUAAUGGGAGGGGAGGAGUUAGUUAAGAAUUCAAAAUUCGAAAUUCGAAUUUUGAAUUAUUUGUUGGAUGGUUGGAGGAUAUUUGGGGAGUGGUUGGGAAUUCAAAAUUCGAAUUCGAAAUCGAAUGAGUUGUUGGAUAGUUGGAAGAUAUUUUGGGAGUUGGUUAGGGAAUUCGAAAUUCGAAAUCGAAUUUUGAAUGUGUUGUUGGAUGAUAUUUUGGGAAUUGGUUAGGUAAUUCAAAAUUCGAAAUCGAAUUUUGAAUGGGUUGUUUGAUGAUAUUUUGGGAAUUGGUUAGGGAAUUCAAAAUUCGAAAUCGAAUUUUGAAUGGAUGAUGUUUUGGGAAUUGGUUAGGGAAUUCAAAAUUCAAAAUCGAAUUUUGAAUGGGUUGUUGGAUGAUAUUUUGGGAAUUGGUUAGGGAAUUCAAAAUUCGAAAUCGAAUUUUGAAUGGGUUAUUGGAUGAUGUUUUGGGAAUUGAUUAGGGAAUUCAAAAUUCGAAAUCGAAUUUUGAAUGGGUUGUUGGAUGAUAUUUUGGGAAUUGGUUAGGGAAUUCAAAAUUCGAAAUCGAAUUUUGAAUGGGUUGUUGGAUGAUGUUUUGGGAAUUGGUUAGGUAAUUCAAAAUUCGAAAUCGAAUGGGUUGUUGGAUGAUAUUUUGGGAAUUGGUUAGUGAAUUCAAAAUUCGAAAUCGAAUUUUGAAUAAGUUGUUGGAGGAUGUUUUGGGAAUUGGUUAGGGAAUUCGAAAUUCGAAUUCGAAUUUCAAAUGGGUUAUGAGAUGGUUAGGUAUUCAAAAUUCGAAAUCGAAUUUUGAAUCGGUUAUUGGAUGAUGUUUUGGGAAUUGGUUGGGAGUUCGAAAUUCGAAAUCGAAUUUUGAAUAGGUUGUGAUUUGAAAUCGAAUUUCGAACAGAUAUUUUAUAUAAUGUGGAUGUGGGCCGUCGUUGAUCAGGCCCGCUUUAAUUUAUUGGGCCCAAANUUUUAUAUAAUGUGGAUGUGGGCCGUCGUUGAUCAGGCCCGCUUUAAUUUAUUGGGCCCAAAUGAUAAUAUUUAAUGGGCUGGAAUAAGGCCCCCCCCCCCGGUUUUCUUUUAUUUGUUUGGGCUUUUAUGAGGCCCACCAACUCACAUUUAUGAAUGGGCCUAUUGUGGAUUUUAAAUUGUAAUUAUUGGCCCCAAAAUUUUCUAGUCAACAUGAGACCUAUCAAAAUUGUUUGAGUCUGAAUCUAAUCAGUUUCGAUUAUGAUUAGAAAAAAAAAAAAAAUUUUCACUUCAAACAAUAUUAUUGUAUAACUUGCAUUUAUUUUGUAUAUUCUGUUUUGAUUAUUUGGUAUUGAUUAUAUUAUUGAGAUUCUAUUGGUUGUGAUGUUAUAAUGUGUAUUAAUUUUGUGAUGUUGUGAUGUGUAUUACUUUUGUGAUGUUGUGAUGUGUAUUGAUAGGUAUCUUUAUUGUAUUCUUGUAUUGAAUCUUGUAAUUCACUUUUCUUCAACAUGUAUCUGUAUCGUAUUCUUGCAUUGAAUCUUGUAAUUGAUUUUUCUGCGGCAAAGUACUAGUGGGCUGGUAGUCGUAUUGGACACGGUGAUCCAUUCACCGUGUCCAAUACAAAUGUAAUGGACACGGUGAUCCAUUCACCGUGUCCAAUACAAAUGUAAUGGACACGGUGAUCCAUUCACCGUGUCCAAUAAAAAUCUAUUGGACACGGUGAUCCAUUCACCGUGUCCAAUAC